AACGAACGCUGGCGGCAUGCCUAACACAUGCAAGUCGAACGAGACCUUCGGGUCUAGUGGCGCACGGGUGCGUAACGCGUGGGAAUCUGCCCUUAGGUUCGGAAUAACUUCGGGAAACUGAAGCUAAUACCGGAUGAUGACGUAAGUCCAAAGAUUUAUCGCCUAAGGAUGAGCCCGCGUUGGAUUAGCUAGUUGGUGAGGUAAAGGCUCACCAAGGCGACGAUCCAUAGCUGGUCUGAGAGGAUGAUCAGCCACACUGGGACUGAGACACGGCCCAGACUCCUACGGGAGGCAGCAGUGGGGAAUAUUGGACAAUGGGCGAAAGCCUGAUCCAGCAAUGCCGCGUGAGUGAUGAAGGCCUUAGGGUUGUUAAAGCUCUUUUUACCCCGGGGAUGAUAAUGACAGUACCGGGAGAAUAAGCUCCGGCUAACUCCGUGCCAGCAGCCGCGGUAAU
This 454-nucleotide ribosomal RNA is filed under the name uncultured bacterium. RNAcentral's name for it is "bacterial SSU rRNA". It matches the Rfam family "Bacterial small subunit ribosomal RNA", at positions 29 to 524 of the family's 1533-position model. The record is from RNAcentral.